Molecule: ribosomal RNA, 253 nt
Filed under: uncultured bacterium
Lineage: Bacteria
Description: partial 16S ribosomal RNA
Rfam family: Bacterial small subunit ribosomal RNA
Source: RNAcentral
GACAGAGGAUGCAAGCGUUAUCCGGAAUGAUUGGGCGUAAAGCGUCUGUAGGUGGCUUUUUAAGUCCGCCGUCAAAUCCCAGGGCUCAACCCUGGACAGGCGGUGGAAACUACCAAGCUGGAGUACGGUAGGGGCAGAGGGAAUUUCCAGUGAAGUGGUGAAAUGCGUAGAUAUUGGAAAGACCACCAAUGGCGAAGGCACUCUACUGGGCCACUACUGACACUGAGAGACGAAAGCUAGGGGAGCGAAUGGG